AUUGAACGCUGGCGGCAUGCCUUACACAUGCAAGUCGAACGGUAACAGGUCUUCGGAUGCUGACGAGUGGCGAACGGGUGAGUAAUACAUCGGAACGUGCCUAGUAGUGGGGGAUAACUACUCGAAAGAGUGGCUAAUACCGCAUGAGAUCUACGGAUGAAAGCAGGGGAUCGCAAGACCUUGUGCUACUAGAGCGGCCGAUGGCAGAUUAGGUAGUUGGUGGGAUAAAAGCUUACCAAGCCGACGAUCUGCAGCUGGUCUGAGAGGACGAUCAGCCACACUGGGACUGAGACACGGCCCAGACUCCUACGGGAGGCAGCAGUGGGGAAUUUUGGACAAUGGGCGCAAGCCUGAUCCAGCAAUGCCGCGUGCAGGAUGAAGGCCUUCGGGUUGUAAACUGCUUUUGUACGGAACGAAAAGCCCUGGGUUAAUACCCUGGGGUCAUGACGGUACCGUAAGAAUAAGCACCUGCUAACCACGUGCCAGCCGCCGCCGUAA
RNAcentral lists this ribosomal RNA (498 nucleotides) under uncultured bacterium. RNAcentral's name for it is "partial 16S ribosomal RNA". It matches the Rfam family "Bacterial small subunit ribosomal RNA", at positions 30 to 523 of the family's 1533-position model. The record is from RNAcentral.